RNAcentral lists this ribosomal RNA (253 nucleotides) under uncultured bacterium. Its description in RNAcentral is "partial 16S ribosomal RNA". It matches the Rfam family "Bacterial small subunit ribosomal RNA", at positions 524 to 776 of the family's 1533-position model. The record is from RNAcentral.
UACGUAGGUGGCAAGCGUUGUCCGGAUUUACUGGGCGUAAAGGAUGCGUAGGCGGACAUUUAAGUCAGAUGUGAAAUACCCGAGCUUAACUUGGGUGCUGCAUUUGAAACUGGGUGUCUAGAGUGCAGGAGAGGUAAGUGGAAUUCCUAGUGUAGCGGUGAAAUGCGUAGAGACCCGGAGGAACACCAGUGGCGAAGGCGGCUUCCUGGUCUGCAACUGACGCUGUGGCGCGAAAGCUAGGGGAGCAAACGGG